GUGCGUGACCGAGAAAGUUGCUCUCGGGUUUGGGCUGAGAGGUGCUGAGUACCGGUACUGAGUUACCGAGUACCAGUACUGGAGUCGGGUACCGGUACUGCAUCGAGCAGGUACCGGUAUGCCGUAAACAGAUCGCUUGACCGAGGCUCGGGUUUGACAGAUUUGGUUGCCAGGUACCGGUACUCCUCCCCGAGUACCGGUACGCAGUGCAGAAACUGCAGUUCGUGCAGUUUGCGAUUUUUGGAGUUUUGAGGGGUCUUGAGGGAAUUGUUACAACAUGUUUAUAUUGUCCCCACUUUCCCACUUGUCCCUCUUUGUGCUGAGGUUAGAGAGGAGCAAGGUAGGGUUUCUCCCUCUCUCUCUUUCUAGAUUUCUCUCCUAAACCUCUUUUGAUUUGGGAUUUGAUCUU
RNAcentral lists this long non-coding RNA (409 nucleotides) under Ananas comosus (pineapple). Its description in RNAcentral is "long non-coding RNA (ACOM_LNC003276)". The record is from RNAcentral. Lineage: Eukaryota; Viridiplantae; Streptophyta; Magnoliopsida; Poales; Bromeliaceae.